Molecule: transfer RNA, 84 nt
Filed under: Fibrobacter sp.
Lineage: Bacteria; Pseudomonadati; Fibrobacterota; Fibrobacteria; Fibrobacterales; Fibrobacteraceae
Description: tRNA-Leu
Rfam family: tRNA
About the family: Transfer RNA (tRNA) molecules are approximately 80 nucleotides in length. Their secondary structure includes four short double-helical elements and three loops (D, anti-codon, and T loops). Further hydrogen bonds mediate the characteristic L-shaped molecular structure. tRNAs have two regions of fundamental functional importance: the anti-codon, which is responsible for specific mRNA codon recognition, and the 3' end, to which the tRNAs corresponding amino acid is attached (by aminoacyl-tRNA synthetases). tRNAs cope with the degeneracy of the genetic code in two manners: having more than one tRNA (with a specific anti-codon) for a particular amino acid; and 'wobble' base-pairing, i.e. permitting non-standard base-pairing at the 3rd anti-codon position.
Source: RNAcentral
GCGGUUGUGGUGGAACUGGUAGACACGCUACUUUGAGGGGGUAGUGAGCGCUAGCUUGUGUCGGUUCGAGUCCGACCAACCGCA